UACAGAGGAUGCAAGCGUUAUCCGGAAUGAUUGGGCGUAAAGCGUCUGUAGGUGGUUUUUAAAGUCUUCUGUCAAAGAUCAGGCUUAACCCUGAGCCGGCAGAAGAAACUUGAAGGCUUGAGUUCGGUUAGGGGCAGAGGGAAUUCCCGGUGAGCGGGUAGAAAUGCGUAGAUAUCGGGAAGAACACCAAUGGCGAAAGCACUCUCGCUGGGCCGUAACUGACACUGAGAGACGAAAGCUAGGGGAGCAAACAGG
RNAcentral lists this ribosomal RNA (255 nucleotides) under uncultured bacterium. RNAcentral describes it as "partial 16S ribosomal RNA". It matches the Rfam family "Bacterial small subunit ribosomal RNA", at positions 524 to 776 of the family's 1533-position model. The record is from RNAcentral.